UUUCUCCAAAUCUGUUCUGAUGAAGAAACAAACUUAUCUGCAUCUUGGAUGGCCUGAUGGAACUUCAAGGGGAGCGGUUCAAUUGCUGUGAAGGAGGAUUCAGGGCACCCAUGAAAGUCUAGCAAGCGCCAGGAGCAUCUCCUAAAAUUGAUUCAGCUUCGGGAUCGGGGCACCAUCAGUGCAGAGCUUGCUCAGGAAUGGCGGCAGGCAGGUGUGAGUGCAAGAAGGGCAGCAAAGAACCCACUUAUGACAGACUGAAAUGCUGAGGACUGGGCUUUAAUGUAGAGGAUUCGAAGAAGAAGAAAUGACCAGACAAAAGCGCCUGUGAGACACUGCUUCAUUUGACGAGUGGUGCUGUGGUGGCCACGCUUCAAAACACCACUUUAUGUGUGUGUGUGUUUUCUCUUUUUAUAUCUUACAUUGCAUGAGAGAGACCACAGAGAAUUGAAAACAUACCGGGGGCCCUUAGGCUGAUCACGUUCUCUUCCUAUCAUAAACGGGAAGCAGUAAAGCUGGAAGGAAUCUCAGUUAGCACGUGGAUAUCAUACCCUCAUUAGAACACACAGUCAAAAAUAAUUUUGCUGCUUGCUUAAUUUACGUAAUUAAAAUGAGCUAAUACAACACAAUUCAUGGAGAUUUCAUUCAUUGAGUGCAAUCCAUUAAAAUUUGUAAAAUAGAAAUUUACUUAAUCCAUUCGCAUUAGGACCACAUGAAUAAUUUCCACUGGUGUUAACCUAGCAUAGGGAGAGUACAUGUUGAAAUUAAGUGUUACAUUAUGCAUUUUUGCACAAAAAGUGAAAAGAGGAAAAUUUGCUGGUUUUAAUGUUCAUUAUGUGGGGAUCAGUGCUAUUUGAGUAUCAUUAAGUUGAAUCAUUUUUUAUUUUCAUAUUUCACAUUUUAAUGUUAGUUAAUGUUUAAUUUUGUUAGCAAUUCUUUCAAGUAACGAUAAGAAAAAAAGGUUUUAGUUUUAAUUUCAGUUUUAGUUAACUAUAACCCUGGUUGGAAUUGAUAUGCAUUUCCACAGUUAUUAACAUUAACAUUCUUUUUUUUGUGUAUAUUUACAAAAAUUGU
Cyprinus carpio (common carp) is the source of this 1071-nucleotide long non-coding RNA. RefSeq lists it as uncharacterized. NCBI's taxonomy places the organism in Eukaryota, Metazoa, Chordata, Actinopteri, Cypriniformes, Cyprinidae. The record is from RefSeq and is a predicted model, not a curated record.